CUCGUGUCGUGAGAGUGUUGGGUUAAGUCCCGCAACGAGCGCAACCCUUAUCCCCCAGUUGCCAUCAGGUAAGCUGGGAACUCUGGGGAGACUGCCGGUGAUAAACCGGAGGAAGGCGGGGAUGACGUCAAGUCCUCAUGGCCCUUACAUCCCGGGCUACACACGUGCUACAAUGGCAGGUACAGAGGGCUGCGAAGCCGCGAGGUGGAGCGAAUCCCAGAAAAACCUGUCUCAGUCCGGAUUGAAGUCUGCAACUCGACUUCAUGAAGGCGGAAUCGCUAGUAACCGCGAAUCAGCAGGUCGCGGUGAAUACGUUCCCGGGCCUU
This 326-nucleotide ribosomal RNA is filed under the name uncultured Latescibacterota bacterium. RNAcentral's name for it is "bacterial SSU rRNA". It matches the Rfam family "Bacterial small subunit ribosomal RNA", at positions 1059 to 1382 of the family's 1533-position model. Lineage: Bacteria; Pseudomonadati; Candidatus Latescibacterota. The record is from RNAcentral.